Molecule: unclassified non-coding RNA, 345 nt
Filed under: soil metagenome
Description: partial contains 5.8S ribosomal RNA, internal transcribed spacer 2, and large subunit ribosomal RNA
Rfam family: 5.8S ribosomal RNA (bases 1-120)
Source: RNAcentral
GAUGAAGAACGUAGCGAAAUGCGAUACGUAAUGUGAAUUGCAGAAUUCAGUGAAUCAUCGAGUCUUUGAACGCACAUUGCGCCCCCUGGUAUUCCGGGGGGCAUGCCUGUCCGAGCGUCAUUGCUGCCCUCAAGCACGGCUUGUGUGUUGGGCCUCCGUCCUCCUCCCGGGGGACGGGCUCGAAAGGCAGCGGCGGCACCGCGUCCGGUCCUCGAGCGUAUGGGGCUUCGUCACCCGCUCUUGUAGGCCCGGCCGGCGCUUGCCGACACAUCAAUCUUUUUUCCAGGUUGACCUCGGAUCAGGUAGGGAUACCCGCUGAACUUAAGCAUAUCAAUAAGCGGAGGA